Molecule: ribosomal RNA, 301 nt
Filed under: uncultured bacterium
Lineage: Bacteria
Description: partial 16S ribosomal RNA
Rfam family: Bacterial small subunit ribosomal RNA
Source: RNAcentral
CAGUCGCCGCGGGAAUACGAAGGGUGCAAGCGUUACUCGGAAUUACUGGGCGUAAAGCGUGCGUAGGUGGUUGUUUAAGUCUGCUGUGAAAGCCCUGGGCUCAACCUGGGAAUUGCAGUGGAUACUGGGCAACUAGAGUAAGGUAGAGGAUAGUGGAAUUUCCGGUGUAGCGGUGAAAUGCGUAGAGAUCUGGAGGAACAUCAGUGGCGAAGGCGGCCAUCUGGGACAACACUGACGCUGAGGCACGAAAGCGUGGGGAGCAAACAGGAUUAGAUACCCGAGUAGUCCCUGUCUCUUAUAC